RNAcentral lists this long non-coding RNA (1709 nucleotides) under Triticum aestivum (bread wheat). RNAcentral describes it as "long non-coding RNA (TAES_LNC001519)". The record is from RNAcentral. Lineage: Eukaryota; Viridiplantae; Streptophyta; Magnoliopsida; Poales; Poaceae.
UCGCAAACAACCCAUGUAAUAUAAAUAAAAGGGAAAGGAUACAUAGUUGGCUUACAAUCGCCACUUCACACAAUUACAUGAAUAAAGCAUUACAUUCAUCCAAAUACACUCAAAGUCCGACUACGGAACCAAAAUGAAAGAAGACUACCCCAAAUGCUACACAGAUCCCCGAUUGACCCCAACUGGGCUCCACUACUGAUCAACUAGAACGAAACAACACAAAGGACAAGACCUUCAUUGACCUCCUCCUUGAGCUUGGUUGCGUCACCUGCACGGUUUCAUCGGCACCUGCAAACUGGUUUUUGAAGUAUCUGUGAGUCACGGGGACUCGGCAAUCUCACACGCUCGCGAUCAAGACUAUUUAAGCUUAUAUGUAAGGUAAAAAGGGUAUGAUGUGCAGCUGCAGCAAGCGACUAGCAUUUAUGGUGGCUACCAUAUUCGCAAAAGAGAGCGAGAAGAGAAGGCAAAAGCACGGUCGAGAAACUAUGAUCAAGAAGUGAUCCUAGAACAACCUACAUCAAGCAUAACUCCAACACCGUGUUCACUUCCCGGACUCCGCUGAGAAGAGACCAUCACAGUUACACGCACGGUUGAUGUAUUUUAGUUAAGGUCAACUUCAGGUUUUCUACAACCGGACAUUAACAAAUUCUCAUCUGCCCAUAACCGCGGGCACGGCUUUCGAAAGUUCAAAUCCCUGCAGGGGUGUCCCAACUUAGCCCAUCACAAGCUCUCACGAUCAACGAAGGAUAUUCCUUCUCCCAAGACAAUCCGAUCAGGCUCGGCAUUCAGGUUACAAGACAUCCUCGACAAUGGUAAAACAAGUCUAGCAACACCGCCCGAAUGUGCCGAUAAAUCCCGAUAGGAGCUGCACAUAUCUCGUUCUCAGGGCACACUCAGAUGAGACAUCCUACGAGUAAAACCAACCCCCAAGUUGCCCCGAGGUGGCCCCGCAGUCUACUCGGUCGGACCAACACUCAGAGGAGCACUGGCCCAGGGGGGUUUAAAUAAAGAUGACCCUUGAGUCUGCAGAACCCAAGGGAAAGAAAAGGCUAGGUGGCAAAUGGUAAAACCAAGGUUGGGCAUUGCUGGAGGAGUUUUAUUCAAGUCGAACUGUCAAGGGGUUCCCAUUAUAACCCAACCGCGUAAGGAACGCAAAAUCCGGGAACAUAACACCGAUAUGACGGAAACUAGGGCGGCAAGAGUGGAACAAAACACCAGGCAUAAGGCCGAGCCUUCCACCCUUUACCAAGUAUGUAGAUGCAUUAAUUAAAUAAGAGAUAUUGUGAUAUCCCAGCAAGUAAACAUGUUCCAACAAGGAACCACAUCUCCAUGUUCCAACAAGGAACAAACUUCAUCUUCACCUGCAACUAACAAUGCUAUAAGAGGGGCUGAGCAAAGCGGUAACAUAGCCAAUCAACGGUAUGCUAGGACAAAGUGGGUUAGAGGCUUGGUUCAACAAUAUGGGAGGCAUGAUAUAGCAAGUGGUGGGUAUCGCAGCAUAGGCAUAGCAAUAGAGCGAGCAACUAGCAAGCAAAGAUAGAAGUGAUUUCGAGGGUAUGGUCAUCUUGCCUGAAAUCCCGCACGGAAGAAGAACGAGUCCAUGAAGAAGACAAACGGACGUAGUCGAACGGGUCCUCACAAACGCGAUGUUAUCGGACCCAAGCCGAAGAAGCAACACCGGAAAGAAGCACACAACAUAGUAAACAAAC